UGAGGAAUAUUGGUCAAUGGGCGCAAGCCUGAACCAGCCAUCCCGCGUGAAGGAAGAAUGCGCUACGCGUUGUAAACUUCUUUUCCAGGGGGAGAAUUUUCCUGUCGAGACAGGGAUUGACGGUACCCUGGGAAUAAGCAUCGGCUAACUCCGUGCCAGCAGCCGCGGUAAUACGGAGGAUGCGAGCGUUAUCCGGAUUUAUUGGGUUUAAAGGGUGCGUAGGCGGAUUGAUAAGUCAGUGGUGAAAUUCUGCAGCUUAACUGUA
RNAcentral lists this ribosomal RNA (265 nucleotides) under uncultured bacterium. RNAcentral's name for it is "partial 16S ribosomal RNA". It matches the Rfam family "Bacterial small subunit ribosomal RNA", at positions 355 to 617 of the family's 1533-position model. The record is from RNAcentral.